UACGAAGGGGGCUAGCGUUGUUCGGAAUUACUGGGCGUAAAGCGCACGUAGGCGGAAUGUUAAGUCAGGGGUGAAAUCCCGGGGCUCAACCCCGGAACUGCCUUUGAUACUGGCAUUCUCGAGUCCGGAAGAGGUGAGUGGAAUUCCGAGUGUAGAGGUGAAAUUCGUAGAUAUUCGGAGGAACACCAGUGGCGGAGGCGGCUCACUGGUCCGGUACUGACGCUGAGGUGCGAAAGCGUGGGGAGCAAACAGG
This 253-nucleotide ribosomal RNA is filed under the name uncultured bacterium. RNAcentral's name for it is "partial 16S ribosomal RNA". It matches the Rfam family "Bacterial small subunit ribosomal RNA", at positions 524 to 776 of the family's 1533-position model. The record is from RNAcentral.